Molecule: ribosomal RNA, 895 nt
Filed under: Laccaria bullipellis
Lineage: Eukaryota; Fungi; Basidiomycota; Agaricomycetes; Agaricales; Hydnangiaceae
Description: eukaryotic LSU rRNA
Rfam family: Eukaryotic large subunit ribosomal RNA
Source: RNAcentral
CUAACAGGAUUCCCCUAGUAACUGCGAGUGAAGCGGGAAAAGCUCAAAUUUAAAAUCUGGCAGUCUUUGGCUGUCCGAGUUGUAAUCUAGAGAAGUAUUAUCCGCGCUGGACCGUGUACAAGUCUCCUGGAAUGGAGCGUCAUAGAGGGUGAGAAUCCCGUCUUUGACACGGACUGCCAGGGCUUUGUGAUGUGCUCUCAAAGAGUCGAGUUGUUUGGGAAUGCAGCUCAAAAUGGGUGGUAAAUUCCAUCUAAAGCUAAAUAUUGGCGAGAGACCGAUAGCGAACAAGUACCGUGAGGGAAAGAUGAAAAGAACUUUGGAAAGAGAGUUAAACAGUACGUGAAAUUGCUGAAAGGGAAACGCUUGAAGUCAGUCACGUUGGCCAGGGAUCAACCUUGCUUUUUUGCUUGGCUUACUUUCUGGUUGAUGGGUCAGCAUCAAUUUUGACUGGUGGAAAAAAGUUCAAGGGAAUGUGGCAUCUUCGGAUGUGUUAUAGCCUUUGUUCGCAUACAUCAAUUGGGAUUGAGGAACUCAGCACGCCGCAAGGCCGGGUUUUUAACCACGUACGUGCUUAGGAUGCUGGCAUAAUGGCUUUAAUCGACCCGUCUUGAAACACGGACCAAGGAGUCUAACAUGCCUGCGAGUGUUUGGGUGAAAAACCCGAGCGCGUAAUGAAAGUGAAAGUUGAGAUCCCUAUCGUGGGGAGCAUUGACGCCCGGAUCUGACCUUUUGUGACGAUUCUGCGGUAGAGCAUGUAUGUUGGGACCCGAAAGAUGGUGAACUAUGCCUGAAUAGGGUGAAGCCAGAGGAAACUCUGGUGGAGGCUCGUAGCGAUUCUGACGUGCAAAUCGAUCGUCAAAUUUGGGUAUAGGGGCGAAAGACUAAUCGAACCAUC